CCUUCGGGACUAGGGGUGAGGCUGAACGCUCGAUCCGAUCGGGUAGUAGGUAAGCGAUGGGGUGACGCAGGAAGGUAGUCCAGCCCAGGCGAUGGUUGUCCUGGGGUAAGCAUGUAGGGCGUGUCGUAGGUAAAUCCGCGGCAUUUAAGCCUGAGAUGUGAUGCCGAGCCGAUUGUGGUGAAGUGGAUGAUCCUAUGCUGCCGAGAAAAGCCUCUAGUGAGUGUUGUGGCGGCCCGUACCCUAAACCGACUCAGGUGGUCAGGUAGAGAAUACCAAGGCGAUCGGGUGAACUGUGGUUAAGGAACUCGGCAAAUUGCCCCCGUAACUUCGGGAGAAGGGGGACCUCUGUUGGUGAUGGGCUUUACGCCUGGAGCUGGUGGGGGUCGCAGUGGCCAGGGGGAAGCGACUGUUUACUAAAAACACAGGUCCGUGCGAAGUCGUAAGACGAUGUAUACGGACUGACGCCUGCCCGGUGCCGGAACGUUAAGGGGACCGCUUAGCUGACGUGAGUUGGCGAAGGUGAGAACUUAAGCGCCGGUAAACGGCGGUGGUAACUAUAACCAUCCUAAGGUAGCGAAAUUCCUUGUCGGGUAAGUUCCGACCUGCACGAAUGGCGUAACGACUUCCCCGCUGUCUCAACCGCAGACCCGGCGAAUUUGCACUACGAGUAAAGAUGCUCGUUUCGCGCAGCAGGACGGAAAGACCCCGGGACCUUCACUACAGCUUGACAUUGGCGUUUGGAACGUCUUGUGUAGGAUAGGUGGGAGACUGGGAAGCUGUCACGCUAGUGAUGGUGGAGUCAUUGGUGAAAUACCACUCUGGUCGUUUUGAACGUCUAACUCUGGUCCGUGAUCCGGAUCGGGGACAGUGUCUGGUGGGUAGUUUAACUGGGGCGGUUGCCUCCUAAAGAGUAACGGAGGCGCCCAAAGGUUCCCUCAGCCUGGUUGGCAAUCAGGUGUUGAGUGUAAGUGCACAAGGGAGCUUGACUGUGAGACUGACAGGUCGAGCAGGAGCGAAAGCUGGGACUAGUGAUCCGGCAUCGGCGUGUGGAAGCGGUGUCGCUCAACGGCUAAAAGGUACCCCGGGGAUAACAGGCUGAUCUUCCCCAAGAGUCCAUAUCGACGGGAUGGUUUGGCACCUCGAUGUCGGCUCGUCGCAUCCUGGGGCUGGAGUAAGUCCCAAGGGUUGGGCUGUUCGCCCAUUAAAGCGGUACGCGAGCUGGGUUUAGAACGUCGCGAGACAGUUCGGUCCCUAUCCGCUGCGCGCGCAGGAGACUUGAAGGGGGCUGUCCCUAGUACGAGAGGACCGGGACGGACGAACCUCUGGUGUGCCAGUUGUACCGCCAGGUGCACGGCUGGUUGGCUACGUUCGGAAGGGAUAACCGCUGAAAGCAUCUAAGCGGGAAGCUCGCCUUGAGAUGAGGUCUCCCACCACGAGAGUGGGUAAGGCUCCCGGUAGACGACCGGGUUGAUAGGCCGGAGGUGGAAGCACGGUAACGUGUGGAGCUGACCGGUACUAAUAGGCCGAGGACUUGACC
RNAcentral lists this ribosomal RNA (1537 nucleotides) under metagenome. RNAcentral's name for it is "bacterial LSU rRNA". It matches the Rfam family "Bacterial large subunit ribosomal RNA", at positions 1402 to 2925 of the family's 2925-position model. The record is from RNAcentral.